Molecule: ribosomal RNA, 375 nt
Filed under: uncultured Ascomycota
Lineage: Eukaryota; Fungi; Ascomycota
Description: eukaryotic LSU rRNA
Rfam family: Eukaryotic large subunit ribosomal RNA (bases 320-375)
Source: RNAcentral
ACUAGCAGUAGUGAAUCAUCGAAUCUUUGAACGCAACACGCACUUUUUAUGCCCUUGUGGUAUAGAAAGUAUAUUUGUUUGAGUGUCACAUAUGAUAACAAUCAAUUCAAGAAUUAUAUUCUCGUAUUGACAUUUGAUAGUUUAAAUGUAUGUUAAUCUAUUUAAAUACACACGUAUUGUUGCUUACCAGUUUCAAUCAAAAAUGUUAUGGUUAAUAUGUAAAUUAUAUGUUGCCAUCUUUUGUAUAACUUGAUUCUAUCAGACAGUACUCUUUCUAUUAAAACUCAGAUAAUACUGAGUUAUUAAAAAGAAUUUUUCAUGACAUCAAAUCAAGUAAGGUUACCCGCUGAAUUUAAGCAUAUCAAUAAGCGGAGG